This 1418-nucleotide ribosomal RNA is filed under the name Klebsiella aerogenes. Its description in RNAcentral is "bacterial SSU rRNA". It matches the Rfam family "Bacterial small subunit ribosomal RNA". Lineage: Bacteria; Pseudomonadati; Pseudomonadota; Gammaproteobacteria; Enterobacterales; Enterobacteriaceae. The record is from RNAcentral.
GGGGCAGGCUACACAUGCAGUCGAGCGGUAGCACAGAGAGCUUGCUCUCGGGUGACGAGCGGCGGACGGGUGAGUAAUGUCUGGGAAACUGCCUGAUGGAGGGGGAUAACUACUGGAAACGGUAGCUAAUACCGCAUAACGUCGCAAGACCAAAGUGGGGGACCUUCGGGCCUCAUGCCAUCAGAUGUGCCCAGAUGGGAUUAGCUAGUAGGUGGGGUAAUGGCUCACCUAGGCGACGAUCCCUAGCUGGUCUGAGAGGAUGACCAGCCACACUGGAACUGAGACACGGUCCAGACUCCUACGGGAGGCAGCAGUGGGGAAUAUUGCACAAUGGGCGCAAGCCUGAUGCAGCCAUGCCGCGUGUAUGAAGAAGGCCUUCGGGUUGUAAAGUACUUUCAGCGAGGAGGAAGGCAUUAAGGUUAAUAACCUUGGUGAUUGACGUUACUCGCAGAAGAAGCACCGGCUAACUCCGUGCCAGCAGCCGCGGUAAUACGGAGGGUGCAAGCGUUAAUCGGAAUUACUGGGCGUAAAGCGCACGCAGGCGGUCUGUCAAGUCGGAUGUGAAAUCCCCGGGCUCAACCUGGGAACUGCAUUCGAAACUGGCAGGCUAGAGUCUUGUAGAGGGGGGUAGAAUUCCAGGUGUAGCGGUGAAAUGCGUAGAGAUCUGGAGGAAUACCGGUGGCGAAGGCGGCCCCCUGGACAAAGACUGACGCUCAGGUGCGAAAGCGUGGGGAGCAAACAGGAUUAGAUACCCUGGUAGUCCACGCCGUAAACGAUGUCGACUUGGAGGUUGUGCCCUUGAGGCGUGGCUUCCGGAGCUAACGCGUUAAGUCGACCGCCUGGGGAGUACGGCCGCAAGGUUAAAACUCAAAUGAAUUGACGGGGGCCCGCACAAGCGGUGGAGCAUGUGGUUUAAUUCGAUGCAACGCGAAGAACCUUACCUACUCUUGACAUCCAGAGAACUUAGCAGAGAUGCUUUGGUGCCUUCGGGAACUCUGAGACAGGUGCUGCAUGGCUGUCGUCAGCUCGUGUUGUGAAAUGUUGGGUUAAGUCCCGCAACGAGCGCAACCCUUAUCCUUUGUUGCCAGCGGUCCGGCCGGGAACUCAAAGGAGACUGCCAGUGAUAAACUGGAGGAAGGUGGGGAUGACGUCAAGUCAUCAUGGCCCUUACGAGUAGGGCUACACACGUGCUACAAUGGCAUAUACAAAGAGAAGCGACCUCGCGAGAGCAAGCGGACCUCAUAAAGUAUGUCGUAGUCCGGAUUGGAGUCUGCAACUCGACUCCAUGAAGUCGGAAUCGCUAGUAAUCGUAGAUCAGAAUGCUACGGUGAAUACGUUCCCGGGCCUUGUACACACCGCCCGUCACACCAUGGGAGUGGGUUGCAAAAGAAGUAGGUAGCUUAACCUCGGAGGCGCUA